GCUCAGAACGAACGCUGGCGGCGUGCCUAACACAUGCAAGUCGAACGUGAUUAGAGAGCUUGCUCUCUAUGAAAGUGGCGCACGGGUGAGUAACGCGUAGAUAAUCUGCCUGAUGAUCGGGGAUAACACUUCGAAAGGGGUGCUAAUACCGGAUAAGCUCACGGAGUCCUUGGACUCUGCGAGAAAAGGGGGGGACCUUCGGGCCUUCUGUCAUCAGAUGAGUCUGCGUACCAUUAGCUAGUUGGUAGGGUAAAGGCCUACCAAGGCGACGAUGGUUAGCUGGUCUGAGAGGAUGAUCAGCCACACUGGAACUGAGACACGGUCCAGACUCCUACGGGAGGCAGCAGUGGGGAAUUUUGCGCAAUGGGGGAAACCCUGACGCAGCAACGCCGCGUGAGUGAUGAAGGCUCUUGGGUCGUAAAGCUCUGACAGAGGGAAAGAAAUGUAUUGCGGCUAAUACCUGCGAUACUUGAUGGUACCCUCAAAGGAAGCACCGGCUAACUCCGUGCCAGCAGCCGCGGUAAUACGGGGGGUGCAAGCGUUGUUCGGAUUUAUUGGGCGUAAAGCGCGUGUAGGCGGUUUGGUAAGUCUGAUGUGAAAGCCCUGGGCUCAACCCGGGAAGUGCAUUGGAUACUGUCAGACUUGAAUACGGGAGAGGGCAGUGGAAUUCCUAGUGUAGGAGUGAAAUCCGUAGAUAUUAGGAGGAACACCGGUGGCGAAGGCGGCUGCCUGGACCGAUAUUGACGCUGAGACGCGAAAGCGUGGGUAGCAAACAGGAUUAGAUACCCUGGUAGUCCACGCCGUAAACGAUGAGAACUAGGUGUUGCGGGUAUUGACCCCUGCAGUGCCGUAGCUAACGCAUUAAGUUCUCCGCCUGGGAAGUACGGGUCGCAGACUAAAACU
Molecule: ribosomal RNA, 903 nt
Filed under: uncultured bacterium
Lineage: Bacteria
Description: bacterial SSU rRNA
Rfam family: Bacterial small subunit ribosomal RNA
Source: RNAcentral